AUACGGAGGGUGCAAGCGUUGUUCGGAAUCACUGGGCGUAAAGGGCGCGCAGGCGGUUUUACAAGUCAGAUGUGAAAGCCCACGGCUCAACCGUGGAAGUGCAUUUGAAACUGUAAGACUUGAGUAUCAGAGGGGAAGGUGGAAUUCCCGGUGUAGAGGUGAAAUUCGUAGAUAUCGGGAGGAAUACCGGUGGCGAAGGCGACUUUCUGGCUGAAUACUGACGCUGAGGCGCAAAAGCGUGGGGAGCAAACAGGAUUAGAAACCCUAGUAGUCC
This 274-nucleotide ribosomal RNA is filed under the name uncultured bacterium. RNAcentral describes it as "partial 16S ribosomal RNA". It matches the Rfam family "Bacterial small subunit ribosomal RNA", at positions 523 to 796 of the family's 1533-position model. The record is from RNAcentral.